AUGGUUGAACUUGAAAGGCAUGUUAUGUUUUCCGCUGUUUAUCGUCUCAUUGAGUUGGCAUUGCUACUACCGAUAACAAUAACAACAGUUGAAAGAGUCUUCUCAUCAAUGAAAAUCAUCAAGAUUGAGUUGUGCUGCAAGAUGUCUGAUGGCUAGCUUAAUGAUUUGAUGGUGUGUUACAUUGAGCGAGAGGUCUUCAAAAGUAUUGAUCUUGAUAAAAUUAAGAAAGAUUUUCAGAAGAAGGGUAGGGAACUGCCAUUGUCUGGGUCUUCUAGACGCCAUUAA
Molecule: ribosomal RNA, 285 nt
Filed under: Triticum aestivum (bread wheat)
Lineage: Eukaryota; Viridiplantae; Streptophyta; Magnoliopsida; Poales; Poaceae
Description: partial small subunit ribosomal RNA
Source: RNAcentral